This 603-nucleotide ribosomal RNA is filed under the name uncultured fungus. RNAcentral describes it as "eukaryotic LSU rRNA". It matches the Rfam family "Eukaryotic large subunit ribosomal RNA", at positions 23 to 641 of the family's 3401-position model. Lineage: Eukaryota; Fungi. The record is from RNAcentral.
ACCCGCUGAACUUAAGCAUAUCAAUAAGCGGAGGAAAAGAAACCAACAGGGAUUGCCCUAGUAACGGCGAGUGAAGCGGCAACAGCUCAAAUUUGAAAUCUGGCGUCUUUGGCGUCCGAGUUGUAAUUUGCAGAGGGCGCUUUGGCAUUGGCAGCGGUCCAAGUUCCUUGGAACAGGACGUCACAGAGGGUGAGAAUCCCGUACGUGGUCGCUAGCCUUUACCGUGUAAAGCCCCUUCGACGAGUCGAGUUGUUUGGGAAUGCAGCUCUAAAUGGGAGGUAAAUUUCUUCUAAAGCUAAAUAUUGGCCAGAGACCGAUAGCGCACAAGUAGAGUGAUCGAAAGAUGAAAAGCACUUUGGAAAGAGAGUCAAACAGCACGUGAAAUUGUUGAAAGGGAAGCGCUUGCAGCCAGACUUGCUUACAGUUGCUCAUCCGGGCUUUUGCCCGGUGCACUCUUCUGUAGGCAGGCCAGCAUCAGUUUGGGCGGUAGGAUAAAGGUCUCUGUCACGUACCUCUCUUCGGGGAGGCCUUAUAGGGGAGACGACAUACUACCAGCCUGGACUGAGGUCCGCGCAUCUGCUAGGAUGCUGGCGUAAUGGCUGU